RNAcentral lists this ribosomal RNA (396 nucleotides) under uncultured bacterium. RNAcentral describes it as "partial 16S ribosomal RNA". It matches the Rfam family "Bacterial small subunit ribosomal RNA", at positions 523 to 918 of the family's 1533-position model. The record is from RNAcentral.
AUACGUAGGUGACAAGCGUUAUCCGGAUUUACUGGGCGUAAAGGGCGUGUAGGCGGUCUUGCAAGUCAGAAGUGAAAUUCCUGAGCUCAACUCGGGCGCUGCUUCUGAAACUGCCGGACUUGAGUGCUGGAGGGGAUAGCGGAAUUCCUAGUGGAGCGGGAAAAUGCGCAGAUAUUAGGAGGAACACCGGUGGCGAAGGCGGCUUACUGGACUGUAACUGACGUUGAGGCUCGAAAGCGUGGGGAGCAAACAGGAUUAGAUACCCUGGUAGUCCACGCCGUAAACGGUGAAUACUAGGUGUGGGGGGACUGACCCCCUCCGUGCCGCAGUUAACACAAUAAGUAUUCCACCUGGGGAGUACGAUCGCAAGAUUGAAACUCAAAUGAAUUGACGGGG